CCAGUGGGAUCCUGGGGUGCAUGAGGAACAGCACUGCCAGCAGGUCAGGGAGGGGAUCCUGCCCCUCCACCCAGCCCAGUGAGGUGUGUCUGGAGGGCUGUGUCUUGCCUCAGGACAAGAGAGACACAGAGCUCCUGAAGUGGGUCCAGCAGAGAGCAAUAAAGACAAUUAAGGGGCUGGAGCACCUCUCUCAUGAGACUGAGGGAGCUGGGCCUGUUCAGCCCUGACAAGAGGCAACUAAGUGGGGACCACAUCAGAGUCUGUAUUUGAAGGGGGAGUGUCAAGAGGAGCCAGGCUCUUCCCAGGGUUGCCAAGCUUAGGACAAGAGGCAACAGGCAGACACUGAUGCACAACAGGUUCCACCUGAAUAUGUGGAAGAGUUUCUUCCCUGUGCAGUGACCGAGCACUGCACAGAUUACCCAGAGAGGUCAUAGAGUCUCCCUCACUUGGAGAUGUCCAAGAACCAUCUGGACAGAAUCCUGUGCCAUGUGCUCUGGGAUGGCCCUGCUUGAGCAGGGAGGUGGGACCAGAUGACCUUCCAUUCUUUCCCAUUCUGUGAUUCUGUGAGAUUGCUGUACCACCACUAAAAGAUUCAUGAGCUCUGUGGCCAGAAAGGGAGGAGAGAGAAAACUGCAAUUUUAACAACUUCUGACACUAGAGAAUGAGCAGGGUAUGGAAAAUCAACACAUCAGAAGGGCAUUGUUUAUUUCAGUCACAGACAAACUCCAACAAGGCUUCAUUUGCAUUUGCACAAACAGCAAAGUGUGCUACAGUAAGCUUUUCUAAGUUGAUUAGCUGGAGGAGGGAAAGCAGACUUUCCCAGCUUUGAAGAUUCAUUUGUAAGCAGGGGAGGGAUGCGAUGAGCGAUCCUAUGAGGCGAUCCAGAGGAGGGGCAUCUGUGAUGCUCCACAGGACUCUGCCUUGGGAGAGCCCACUGGGCUAAUCCUCAGCUGCAGCUACCAAGGCAGCUUUUCCUGAACUGCCUUGGGAAGAGAUGAGUUUUUGACACAAGUUUACCAUGCUUAAUUUGAUGCUUUCAUAGAAGCAGCUCCAUCUCCGUAAUCAAGAGCUUUUCUCUUUCCUUUCCGGUUCUGAUUUUAAGCUUGUCUAGCCACAGUAUUUUGACAAAUUCAGUGUGCAUCAGCAUUAGGGAUGUAAUACACUCAAGUGAUGUUGCAGGCAGACCAUAUGCAAACUGAGACAAGUCUGGGAAUCCAUGGGGUCAUGGUGAAAUGCUAGGAACAAAGGAAAAAAACUUUGUAGGGAGGGAUUAUUCACUGGUUUCUGACACAGAGUUUCAAGCUGAGAGAAUCAGCUGCUUUGAAAAAAUCUCACAUCAUCACACGUGUCUCUUCUGAUAAAACAUUAGGUAACCCUGUGUUCCAGGGGUAAAGUACUCAGCUUGCUUAUUGACUGCACAGUGGUAAAUUCUUCAUUAAAGCAGGUUUCUGGCUGUAUCUCAGAAACUGAAUGCUCAUUUAAGUAAAUAGUGACCUGAAACCAUUGCUACUGAGCAGUCAGACCUUAUAUGGGAAAGUCUGUGCAAGUCAUCAGAUAGAUUGCAAUAAGGUAUCUCAGAGGUGAAAGAUAAAAACCCAACUACAGUUGACUUGGCAAAAAGUGUUCUCACAGGAACAUCUUGCUCCACAAACACUGCCAUUCUUAGAAACAGGCCAGCUUUAGACAUGGUUUCUAAGAUUCAGGGGAGUCUAGGGACUAGACAAACAUCCCUUCUUCAAAACAAGAAUUUAAAUUAUUCGCUGAAAUGACAUGGACCAACCAACCCAGGCCAGAAGAGUGGAAUGCCCCAGGAAAACUGCCAUGCUUACAGUUGGUCUCCAUGACAAGAAGGGCAGCUUGAACUUGUGGCUCCUGUAUGCCAACAAACUUUGGCAUCACACUGGUUUAGAAAACAGCCUGCAAACAGAUGGAGAGCUGCUGGAGAUGAAUCUGAAGGCUGAGGAUCAAAGUUGGUACCACCAUAACAAGGAGGCAGGGACGCCUCUAAUGGUGCUCAAAGCUGUCCUGUCCUACUGAGGGCACUGCAAAGGCACACAAAGCACAGGCAUCCAAACCUACCUGAUGUGCACCAUGCCAGCUUCAAAACAGCUUAUGGACAGGUAACUAGGAAUCAAGUGUCCAUUUUAAGAUGCACAAUCAGCUCCAUAGCCAGCAAGACAGAGCAAAAUGUUAACUUUCCCCCUUCCAGCACCCCUCCAAACCUCAGAGAAGCUUCAUCCCAAGGCCCUAACAGAGCAAAUGCCAGCUGGGGUGAUUUCCUCACACACUGAGUCACCGUGUGGGCUGAACACUCAUCCUGAACUGUGACAAAACCACCUACCUCUGAACUUUGACAAACUGUGCCAAUAAAGUUAUUGAGUGAUCAUGACCAUUUUCUGUUAACUUUUUUUUAACGUUUCAUUUGCUAAAAAGGCAAUUUUAGCUCCUGAAGAAGGCAUUUUAAGCAGAACUCAGAAAUGUGACCUGGAAAGAUAAUAUGAAUGGGAUUUUUCUCUGUCAUCUCUCUAUGCUUUUGAUUAUUCUUGACAUUCUAUAAUGUUAAGUUAUAAAUAGAAAGCAUUUUGGAAAUGUCAUAAUAUCCUGUGUCUAAUAAGAGAAUACCACAGCUAGAAAAUAUGCUUAAGAAAUCAAGAUUACAUAGCAGACUCAAGAGGAAGAAUUAAACUGGGCUUCAAUGCAAUGGAACUUAACAGCUAUAAAAAAAUAUGAACUGUGAACUCAAACUGGAAGCUACAAUUGAAAUGUAAACAUUGCUUAUUGAAAGCAGGAUGCUGCAUUAAUAAAGCAACCACAAAAGCUGAACACUUGUGGCAUUACUGGAUAAAGCAGGGAUGCUUUUUCACCCUUUCAAGUGGAUCUAAUUCAGAUUAUGUCUCCCACCUAACCCAAAUGUUCAAAGUUCUUGUACUUGAUCCUUCAGUAGAGCAUGAAUUUGUUUUGGAAUGUUCUAGCUGAAUUGAUUUCUUUUUCUCUUGCCUUUCCAUCUCAUAUGGAAAUUAUUCUCAUCUCUUUGCAGGUCUUCCGUGUCUUAGCACAGGUAAAAGGGCUGGUACUGAUGAAUACAUGACAAGCUUUUCAUAUUCUCAUAAAUUAAAUUGGAAUAUUUACUAAAGAUCAAAAUCAAUUCUUUCUUUUCUAUGCUUGAACCUAAAGCACAGUGCAAUUUCUGCUUUGAUUUGUACAGAACACUUUGCUGACUAUAUCAAUAGCUACCAAUUCACCCCGCACUAUGUGGAACAGACUUUGCCUCCUGGAACAUGCCUGUGAGACUUCAGGGGCUGAACACCACUCUGCAUCACCCCUCCAGGAGGCACCAACCACUGACUCCUCUGGAGUCUGGGGGUGGCCAAGAAGAGUCACAAACAUGGCUGGAUUUGGGUUUGACUAGUACUGAAGCAUAACUAAAGUUAUAAUAACAAAACCAUGGCACUAAGAUGAUAUGUGCUGAUGUAACUCUUCUGAAAAUUUCAAUGAGUGAUCUGCAAGAUCAAUAAAAAAAAAGACUCUUAACAUAGUCAACAAAAUGGUUCGGAAGUAUUUCUGAAAUUAAUAUAUGAACAGAAAAAUUUAUAAAUAACUAAAAUUUCCGUGGAGCUUUGCUCCAACUGACAUUUAUUUCAUUAUACCAUCCCAUUCUAACAGUCCCUUAUUUAGGUAUCUAAGGCAACCAAUGAAAACCCAACAAAAAAUACCUUUUUCACUCUAGAACCCCAGCUUCUUGAUUACAAAGAAAUGAAGCUUUAAUUACCUUUGGGUAAUUAAAGGUGACUGGUCAGAGAAGAAAACAAACAGUAUCUAGAAUCAGUGUUAUGUGACAGUCCCAGCUGCAGAAGGGCAAGGUCUGACACACUGCUGUUGCCCCAUUGUGGAAUUAACAUCCACAGUAAUAAACAAAACAACAGGGGUCUUAAAAACUCUACAGCAAAAAUUACAGAUUUUUUUUUUCACCUGACCUAAGCAAAAAUGUUUGGCUGUAAUUGCAUGAUGGGAGAAAGAGGACCCUUUGAAGUUUAAGAGUUACCUGCAUACUUAGAAAAUGUUUUCUGAGAUAGGUCAUUUUUCUUCCAAAUGUGACUGAUCUGUUCCACAUAAAUGCAAAUUCUCAUUUCUACUUUGUUAUUUGUCAAGAAAAUUGCAAUCAAUAUUAUUUUAAUCCACCUCAUACACAGUGUUGAACCUUUUAUUUGUCUCAAUGAAUAAAUAAUUCAAACUGA
Passer domesticus (house sparrow) is the source of this 4235-nucleotide long non-coding RNA. RefSeq lists it as uncharacterized. The transcript is spliced from 5 exons. The record is from RefSeq and is a predicted model, not a curated record. NCBI's taxonomy places the organism in Eukaryota, Metazoa, Chordata, Aves, Passeriformes, Passeridae.